This 301-nucleotide ribosomal RNA is filed under the name uncultured bacterium. RNAcentral's name for it is "partial 16S ribosomal RNA". It matches the Rfam family "Bacterial small subunit ribosomal RNA", at positions 509 to 808 of the family's 1533-position model. The record is from RNAcentral.
CAGUCGCCGCGGUAAUACGGAGGGUGCAAGCGUUAAUCGGAAUUACUGGGCGUAAAGCGCACGCAGGCGGUUUGUUAAGUCAGAUGUGAAAUCCCCGAGCUUAACUUGGGAACUGCAUUUGAAACUGGCAAGCUAGAGUCUUGUAGAGGGGGGUAGAAUUCCAGGUGUAGCGGUGAAAUGCGUAGAGAUCUGGAGGAAUACCGGUGGCGAUGGCGGCCCCCUGGACAAAGACUGACGCUCAGGUGCGAAAGCGUGGGGAGCAAACAGGAUUAGAUACCCUGUAGUCCCUGUCUCUUAUACC